UUUUUGCCUUGAUGUCUGUCUGCAAUGUAGUGUCACCUAAUUAGAAAACAUGACCACGAACUGUAUCCAGUUCUAACAAGCCAAAUGCUUUCCUCAGUUCCUGGGGCCCAGCUUAAAGGGGCUGACAACUACGGAAGAAGCCUUUUGCUUGGCAGAGUCCAUGAUGGUACCCAGAACCCAAGAUAAGACCAUGCUCAGAGAUCACCAACAUUUCUCAGAGUACACAGAGCUUUGCGGAAACAGCUCGCAUUACCCUCAUCACCACAUCCCAGCCCACAAAACAUGCAGAAACCCACUGCUUUACCAGAGGCCACAACUUGAACUGGAACUCCAGGUACCGCUGCAGAACCCUAGAGGCCAUGCCAGCACCCACAGCCCUAGAGGUCACCCAGGGUUUCAUAGUGAACCAGUAGAGUCACCUGUCACCAUAAACACAGGCCACCCAGGCCAGAAGAUCAGAAAGGAAAUAGAAACUAUGAAUAAAAAAACAUUAAGUAA
This 498-nucleotide long non-coding RNA is filed under the name Rattus norvegicus (Norway rat). Its description in RNAcentral is "long non-coding RNA NONRATT000145". Lineage: Eukaryota; Metazoa; Chordata; Mammalia; Rodentia; Muridae. The record is from RNAcentral.